This 332-nucleotide RNase P RNA is filed under the name Candidatus Kaiserbacteria bacterium. Its description in RNAcentral is "partial RNase P RNA component class A". It matches the Rfam family "Bacterial RNase P class A". Rfam says of the family: Ribonuclease P (RNase P) is a ubiquitous endoribonuclease, found in archaea, bacteria and eukarya as well as chloroplasts and mitochondria. Its best characterised activity is the generation of mature 5'-ends of tRNAs by cleaving the 5'-leader elements of precursor-tRNAs. Lineage: Bacteria; Candidatus Kaiseribacteriota. The record is from RNAcentral.
GCAGUUAAUCGGAUAAUCGCUGGCCGUAAAAGGCGAGAGGAAAGUCCGGGCAGCAUAGGAUAAGACAGCCGCUAACGGCGGCCGGGGGCAACCUUAGGGAAAGUGCCACAGAAACUAAUACCGCCUUCACUAUCCCGACUCUUCGGAGCUCGCGAAGGUAAGGGUGAAACGAGUAGUGUAAGAGACUACAGCGACGCAUGGUAACAUGCGGAGGGGGUAAACCCUGUCUGCUGCAAGGAGAUGUGCAUAAAGGGCGAUCCGUCCGCAUGUCGAUACCCGCUAGAGCCGAUCGGCAACGUUCGGCGUAGAUAGAUGAUUAUCACGGAUUUAUU